This 225-nucleotide ribosomal RNA is filed under the name uncultured bacterium. RNAcentral's name for it is "partial 16S ribosomal RNA". It matches the Rfam family "Bacterial small subunit ribosomal RNA", at positions 15 to 231 of the family's 1533-position model. The record is from RNAcentral.
GAUCAUGGCUCAGGAUGAACGCUAGCUACAGGCUUAACACAUGCAAGUCGAGGGGCAGCAUGGUCUUAGCUUGCUAAGGCCGAUGGCGACCUGCGCACGGGUGAGUAACACGUAUCCAACCCGCCGUCUACUCUUGGACAGCCUUCUGAAAGGAAGAUUAAUACAAGAUGGCAUCAUGAGUCCGCAUGUUCACAUGAUUAAAGGUAUUCCGGUAGACGAUGGGGA